RNAcentral lists this transfer RNA (77 nucleotides) under Deltaproteobacteria bacterium. RNAcentral describes it as "tRNA-Arg". It matches the Rfam family "tRNA". Rfam says of the family: Transfer RNA (tRNA) molecules are approximately 80 nucleotides in length. Their secondary structure includes four short double-helical elements and three loops (D, anti-codon, and T loops). Further hydrogen bonds mediate the characteristic L-shaped molecular structure. tRNAs have two regions of fundamental functional importance: the anti-codon, which is responsible for specific mRNA codon recognition, and the 3' end, to which the tRNAs corresponding amino acid is attached (by aminoacyl-tRNA synthetases). tRNAs cope with the degeneracy of the genetic code in two manners: having more than one tRNA (with a specific anti-codon) for a particular amino acid; and 'wobble' base-pairing, i.e. permitting non-standard base-pairing at the 3rd anti-codon position. The record is from RNAcentral. Lineage: Bacteria; Pseudomonadati; Myxococcota; Myxococcia.
GCGCCAGUAGCUCAGCUGGAUAGAGCAACGGCCUUCUAAGCCGUAGGUCAGGGGUUCGAGUCCCUUCUGGCGCGCCA